Molecule: transfer RNA, 71 nt
Filed under: Calothrix sp. SM1_7_51
Lineage: Bacteria; Bacillati; Cyanobacteriota; Cyanophyceae; Nostocales; Calotrichaceae
Description: tRNA-Gly
Rfam family: tRNA
About the family: Transfer RNA (tRNA) molecules are approximately 80 nucleotides in length. Their secondary structure includes four short double-helical elements and three loops (D, anti-codon, and T loops).
Source: RNAcentral
GCGGGCAUAGUUUACUGGUAAAACAUCUUCCUUCCAAGUAGAAGUAGCGAGUUCGAUUCUCGCUGCCCGCU